GGUUCAAAGAGUAAAACCAAAUGAAAGAGCAGAACAAUGACAUCUCCCCAGGCACACGGCGCAGCCCCAGGUGUGGUGCUCCCCACUCCACCCCCGGGUGCCUCCAUCCCACAGCUGUUGCAGAAAUGGAAGGAGACGCAGAACUACAGAAGGGGCUCCAGGCUUGGGGACCUGCCCCACCUGUGAGGAAAAGCUGGACUCCUUGUCACUCAGCAGAAAAUGCGUCAACUGC
RNAcentral lists this long non-coding RNA (232 nucleotides) under Ictidomys tridecemlineatus (thirteen-lined ground squirrel). RNAcentral's name for it is "lncRNA (ENSSTOG00000030363.1)". Lineage: Eukaryota; Metazoa; Chordata; Mammalia; Rodentia; Sciuridae. The record is from RNAcentral.